Molecule: long non-coding RNA, 1654 nt
Organism: Cavia porcellus (domestic guinea pig)
Lineage: Eukaryota; Metazoa; Chordata; Mammalia; Rodentia; Caviidae
Exons: 4
Source: RefSeq, a predicted model, not a curated record
UCACCUCAUACUUCUUUUUAUCUUCUUCUUUCUUGACCACAGACCUGACUUUCUUGGCUCUUUUUCUCAAGUGUCAUUUGAAAACAUAAGGUCUUUCCAAAAGUAAGGCCAGGUCUUACUGUGAACCUCUCUUAGAGCUGUGACCAUUUAGAUGAUAUCUGCUUUCAACGCUGCCUAUCCUCAUUUGAUGCACAGCUUUCAUGGAAAGCAGCACUGGGCAGUCUAGCCGUUGCCCUCUUUCUGAGCCAUGUUUUCUUGGAAAUGGCCUCUGCUUCUGUUAUGAUUUAUAACUAGAUGUGCCCCAAAGUUUCAUGUAGAAUAAGUGGAGAUCUGAGGAAGCAAUUAGAUCAAAAGUGUGAUACUCAUCAGGGGAUUAGCACACUGAUGAGCUUAUAAAUAACUAUGAUGUUAGGAGGUGAAGGCUGGCUGGAGGAGGCAGAGCCCAAAGGCACGGCCUGGAAGAGUGCAUCACCCUCCUUCUCUGGUGGUCUCUCUCUGCUUCCUAUUGCCUAGCCUCUGCCAGGCCCCCCCACCAUGCCAGCCAACUAUGGACUGAAGCCUCUACAAAAUGUAGGAGGCAGUCAUCUCUAUCAAGUGUCCUAAAACGGAGAUUUUUGAAACUUUCACUGAUGUAAAAAGAUCUUUGAUUUGUUUUUUAUGGGUGACUGGUCUAGGUCAUGGGACAGUGGAAAGCCUCUAUUGCAGGACCGAGGUGGUACCUUUUGGUGGAGAAGAACUAUAUUAAGUGUGAAGUAACCUUGAAGGGAAGAAUGUGGUCAUCUUUACUGUGCAAGACAUUGUGCAUAUAGGCAACAUGGCGAAUGUGUUGGUUAAUUUUAUGUGUCAACAUAACUGGGCUAAAGGAUAUCAAGGUAGCCAGUAAAACAUCAUUUUUGAGUGUCUCUGUGAGGGUAUUUCUAGAAGGCAUUGGUUCUGAACCUGUUGACUAGGAAAGAAGAUCUACUUCCAAUCCUCAGAGUCCCUGGUUAGAACAAAAGGCAGAAAAUGAGUAAAUUUGGUCUCUGCUUGAGUUGGGACAUCCACCUUCUGAUCAUGGAGACUGGCACAUCUUUUGCUCAGAAUUUCAUGUUUGGGCUGGACUGUACCACCAGCAUUUUGAUUCUUCUGGCCUGCAGAUAGCAGAUUAUGGAACUCCCUAUCCUCCAUAAUGGUAUGACCAAGCUCUUGUAAUGAAUUCAUCCCUUCAGGGGUAUAUGUAUAUGUACAUGAGUAUAGAUAGAGCUAUAUUUAUAUCCUAUUUAUUGUGGUUUUUACUGGAGAAUUCUGAUAAAUAUAGCAAGAUUCUUGCUUGUACUCACUUCACAUGGGAACUACUUGGUCUCCUAAAUUUGCCUGAAGUAGAGCGACGCAGAGUCACUGCCAAGUCUUUUACCUGCAGCAAGUCCGUUGGUCGGUACCCAUAUACCUCUUCAAGUACUCAAAUGCUGAUCAAUUUUCACCUAACAGAUGACCAGAUGUUGGUUCAGAAAGAAAGGCUAUAUGCCAUAAAAAGUACUUCAUGGCCAGAUAUUGGAAUAGUGUUGAAACUGGAGCCUAUAUAAAUACUUUGGUGCUAUUCCAUUUGGACACAUGCCACAAAAAAUAACCUAGAGUAGUUUUGAAAAAGUGUCAAUAAAUCAACUGUUUAGCUCGA